Neopsephotus bourkii (Bourke's parrot) is the source of this 1527-nucleotide long non-coding RNA. RefSeq lists it as uncharacterized. The record is from RefSeq and is a predicted model, not a curated record. Lineage: Eukaryota; Metazoa; Chordata; Aves; Psittaciformes; Psittacidae. The transcript has 2 exons.
CCUGUAUGCACUGAUUAUCCCUUUGUUCCCUUCCUCUAAUGAUACCUAAAAUUAGAAAACUCUCAAUGUUGUAACCUGAAGCUCUAUCAAACAAAGAGGUGAUUGUAGCUGAGUCUAAGGCUUACCUGCCUGGGCAAGAUGCAGCAUUCUCUGGAGUCCUGAUUCCUUAUCUGCAGUUCACGAGCUGGAGACCUGUCCGGAUGUUGUGCAAGUCAUUGCUACUGGUUGAAUGCCAGUGUGUAGAAUGGGAGAUCCCCUUGUGAAGUUUCUUCCAAGAACUAAAUUCAUUCUUAUCAGAGAAUGUGAAGGUUAACUAAUUAUGUGCUCUAACUUCCAAAAACACAGUCUGGGGGAGUUUAAAGAGCUCUAACACUGAAAUAAAACAAAAUCCUGAUCACCUCAAAUUUGAUGUUUUUAAGGUAAACUGUAUUGAGUCGUCAGCUCCUUUGGAAAAGUGGAUUAUUCUAAAAUGUUGAACAGCUGCCCUAUUUUCAUCACAUGGUCCUAACCAGAAUACAGGAGGAAUUCCAUGAAAAUUAUCCAGGUGUGGGAGAAUAGAAACUGACCUAAAAUAUUGCCUUAGUGCUGGUUGGGGAAGAAAGUUGAUCUUUCCUGAAAAUACUGAAGCAGAUGGGAGCAGUGUGAAUGCCAGAAUAUCCCUGCAAAUUCUCCUAACAUGAAACAGCUUUGGACAGUUCAGGACAUCUGGAGUGAAUAUGAGAGAGGGAAAUGAAAAAUUUCUUGAAUGUACUUAAAGGCUGAAAUAGAAUCACAGUGGCAUAGACAUGCAGAAACCCUGAAUGAAAUACAUGGAUAUGGCAGAAUGCUUAAGAGGAAGUCAGCCUGCUAGAAGCAGAACUAUUUUUAGUCUUCUAAUGAAGAAAGCAGCUGUAUUUGAGAAAACCAGUCACUCACUGCUUGGAAAAAUCAUCUGGAACUCUUUCUGGGUCCUGGUGUUCUUGGUUGCUAGAGGAAAAUCUUAUGUGUAAGCUCUUUUAGCCCUGGAGAACCUUAAAUGGCAGGCAUCUUGGGUUUUGAAGCACAGUUGGGAGCUUCUUGGGAACAGAUUCACAGAUUUCUGUUGGAGCCCAUGGUCACUUUGCGGUAUUCAACCACUCUUGGAAUUAGUGCUUCUUUAGGAGACAGUGAGGAUCUGGCAAAGUCCUCCAAGAUGUACAUUAAACAUAACAUUCUGCCGCCUUUUGUUCUGUGCCGUGCUGCUUGUUAUCCAGUGUUUGUUUCCGUUCUGAGUUUCCCCAGAGCUUUACUGGGGUGCAGCAGCCUCUCCACUUCAUCACAAAACCUCUGUUUUCUUAUUUGUAUAGCGCUUGUGUUAGGUGUGGGAAUGGAAGAGAGCCACUUCAUUUUGCUGUUGUAGUGAAAUUUGAAUUGUGAAAACUCACUGCUCUUAAAGUACCAUCUUUGUACAGAAAAAGCCCAUUUAUAAGGUGCAGUUGUGGUGGUGUAAAAGAAUAUUUUCUGUCUUUUUCUGUCAUGUUGCUGAGUUAAACAGAUGAUCAAAGUGAA